UACAGAGGUCUCAAGCGUUGUUCGGAUUCAUUGGGCGUAAAGGGUGCGUAGGUGGCGCCGUAAGUCAGAUGUGAAAUUUCGGAGCUUAACUCCGAAACUGCAUUUGAUACUGCGGUGCUUGAGGACUGGAGAGGAGACUGGAAUUUACGGUGUAGCAGUGAAAUGCGUAGAGAUCGUAAGGAAGACCAGUGGCGAAGGCGGGUCUCUGGACAGUUCCUGACACUGAGGCACGAAGGCCAGGGGAGCAAACGGG
This 253-nucleotide ribosomal RNA is filed under the name uncultured bacterium. RNAcentral's name for it is "partial 16S ribosomal RNA". It matches the Rfam family "Bacterial small subunit ribosomal RNA", at positions 524 to 776 of the family's 1533-position model. The record is from RNAcentral.